RNAcentral lists this unclassified non-coding RNA (362 nucleotides) under Hevea brasiliensis (rubber tree). The record is from RNAcentral. Lineage: Eukaryota; Viridiplantae; Streptophyta; Magnoliopsida; Malpighiales; Euphorbiaceae.
CUUAUGGUUUGAGUGCCUUUUGUACAUUCAACUAAUGAUUACUUAGCUAUCUUUGUUUCUGUAUAGGAUUUUUGAGUUAUGAUUUUGGCUCAUGUUUUGUUGUCACUGUCAUCCCUUGUAGGUAUAAGGUAUAGAUACAAAUAUAGUUGUUGCUCAUCUCUGAUGUAACUUGAAUUGGAAAAUAAUGUUAUUUUGCCGCUGUAAUGAGAGAACCAUUGCCAAAGGAUUUUUUUUUGGGGUGUUUAUGUAAUUUUAGGGGGGUUCAACUUCUUACAUUGGUUUGGUGUAUAUCAAGAAAUCUAAUGUCCAAAUACUUUGAUACUCCUCCAAAUGCAGUCUAGUGUUCCUCUGCAGUGCAGUGA